AGCCGAUUAGCUCAGUGGAUCUUUAGAGCGUCUGACUACGAAUCAGAAGGACGCGGGUUCGAGUCCCGCAUCGGCUUCCA
This 80-nucleotide transfer RNA is filed under the name Acidobacteriota bacterium. RNAcentral's name for it is "tRNA-Arg". It matches the Rfam family "tRNA". From Rfam's summary of the family: Transfer RNA (tRNA) molecules are approximately 80 nucleotides in length. Their secondary structure includes four short double-helical elements and three loops (D, anti-codon, and T loops). The record is from RNAcentral. Lineage: Bacteria; Pseudomonadati; Acidobacteriota.